This 516-nucleotide ribosomal RNA is filed under the name uncultured bacterium. RNAcentral's name for it is "bacterial SSU rRNA". It matches the Rfam family "Bacterial small subunit ribosomal RNA", at positions 8 to 515 of the family's 1533-position model. The record is from RNAcentral.
AGGGUUUGAUCCUGGCUCAGAUUGAACGCUGGCGGCAGGCCUAACACAUGCAAGUCGAGCGGUAACAGGGAUAGCUUGCUAUCUGCUGACGAGCGGCGGACGGGUGCGUAACACGUAGGAAUCUACCCAGUAGCGGGGGAUAGCCCGGAGAAAUCCGGAUUAAUACCGCAUACGCCCUAAGGGGGAAAGCAGGGGAUCUUCGGACCUUGCACUACUGGAUGAGCCUGCGUCGGAUUAGCUAGUUGGUGGGGUAAAAGCCUACCAAGGCAACGAUCCGUAGCUGGUCUGAGAGGAUGAUCAGCCACACUGGGACUGAGACACGGCCCAGACUCCUACGGGAGGCAGCAGUGGGGAAUAUUGCACAAUGGGCGCAAGCCUGAUGCAGCCAUGCCGCGUGUGUGAAGAAGGCUCUAGGGUUGUAAAGCACUUUCAGCGAGGAGGAAAGGGGUUGAGCUAAUACCUCAGCUCUGUGACGUUACUCNCAGAANAAGCAUCGGCUAACUCCGUGCCAGCANC